UGGCUGUUUUGUAGGAGUGGUUUAGCUACAAAGUAACAUUUUACCUUAUUCAAUGAGGAUGACAGAAACCCUAAAUUACCACCAUCUGCUUUUUCUCCAUUUCAAAAUUCAAUCAUUUCAGUGACAUACGCAGAAAUCCAAGCUUAUUGGGAAUGGAGUCGUUGCAAUUAUUUGAUGACCUGACUGAGGAGCAUUCACAGAAUACAAUUAGAAGAAGGAAUAGAUUUUCACAGACAGAGUAUCCACAGCCAGGUCUGACUACAGGAAACAGCCCAUGGAAGAACAUGCAUUUUCUCAUACCUUAUCUGCCAGACUGCUUUAUUUGAGAAAACAACACAAAACAGGCUCAAAUAAAAUUAAUAAAGAGUCAUAACUUACCUUGUCCACCAGAAUACUGACAUCAGAAAAAUAUAUAGUAAAAUAAUUAGCUGCUUUUAUGUAGGAAAAUGUUCCCUUCCUUUACCUUAGAAAUGUAACAGUGAUUUUUAAUUCUGACACCUAUUAGAAAAAAGCUAAAAUACUACUAAGUAUUACAGCUUGAGAGAUGCAGUCAUUAUCAGAAAGGAGCUGCAUUAUCAUACACCAGAUCUCUCUCAUUUUUAUAAAAUCUGAAAGUUAUAAAAUUUAAGUAUGAU
Pezoporus occidentalis (night parrot) is the source of this 635-nucleotide long non-coding RNA. RefSeq lists it as uncharacterized. The transcript has 3 exons. NCBI's taxonomy places the organism in Eukaryota, Metazoa, Chordata, Aves, Psittaciformes, Psittacidae. The record is from RefSeq and is a predicted model, not a curated record.